RNAcentral lists this ribosomal RNA (253 nucleotides) under uncultured bacterium. RNAcentral describes it as "partial 16S ribosomal RNA". It matches the Rfam family "Bacterial small subunit ribosomal RNA", at positions 524 to 776 of the family's 1533-position model. The record is from RNAcentral.
UACGAAGGGGGCUAGCGUUGUUCGGAAUUACUGGGCGUAAAGGGCGCGUAGGCGGCGUGUCAAGUCAGGCGUGAAAGCCCCGGGCUCAACCUGGGAACCGCGCUUGAGACUGGCAUGCUCGAGUUCGGGAGAGGAUGGUGGAAUUCCCAGUGUAGAGGUGAAAUUCGUAGAUAUUGGGAAGAACACCGAUGGCGAAGGCAGGUCUCUGGGCAUUAACUGACGCUGAGGAGCGAAAGCAUGGGGAGCGAACAGG